UACGUAGGGUGCAAGCGUUGUCCGGAAUUAUUGGGCGUAAAGAGCUCGUAGGCGGCCUGUCGCGUCGGCUGUGAAAACCCGGGGCUCAACCCCGGGCCUGCAGUCGAUACGGGCAGGCUAGAGUCCGGUAGGGGAGACUGGAAUUCCGGGUGUAGUGGUGAAAUGCGUAGAGAUCCGGAGGAACACCAGUGGCGAAGGCGACACGCUGGGCCGUACCUGACACUGAUACGCGACAGCAUGGGGAGCGAACGGG
This 253-nucleotide ribosomal RNA is filed under the name uncultured bacterium. RNAcentral's name for it is "partial 16S ribosomal RNA". It matches the Rfam family "Bacterial small subunit ribosomal RNA", at positions 524 to 776 of the family's 1533-position model. The record is from RNAcentral.